Molecule: long non-coding RNA, 247 nt
Filed under: Brassica napus (rape)
Lineage: Eukaryota; Viridiplantae; Streptophyta; Magnoliopsida; Brassicales; Brassicaceae
Description: long non-coding RNA (BNAP_LNC003152)
Source: RNAcentral
GUAAAAGAUGUGACUUCCAUGUCUAUGUAAUCGUCUUCUAGAUUAGCUGCCAUUUUUUUUAAUGUGUGUUUCUUCUUUUUGUAUUAUGUUUUAGUGAUUAGUGAUCUGAGUUAAGAGUAGAGGAUGUAUGUUUUAUAUAUGCGAGAGAGAGUUAGUGUUAGGUUUUUGAUUAGGUAAAUAUGGUACAACUGUGGAGUGUGGACCAAGUCGUGUUUUCAUUUUACGUACAUACAUCUAUGAUAAAAAC